AUCUAGCCCCGAUUGAGGCGGUAUCCUCGUAACGGAGUGAAGAGAUAAAGCCGAAAGCGGGAAACCAU
This 68-nucleotide small RNA is filed under the name Flavobacterium cutihirudinis. RNAcentral's name for it is "Flavo-1 RNA". It matches the Rfam family "Flavo-1 RNA". Lineage: Bacteria; Pseudomonadati; Bacteroidota; Flavobacteriia; Flavobacteriales; Flavobacteriaceae. The record is from RNAcentral.